This 2517-nucleotide ribosomal RNA is filed under the name Escherichia coli. Its description in RNAcentral is "partial 23S ribosomal RNA". It matches the Rfam family "Bacterial large subunit ribosomal RNA", at positions 418 to 2915 of the family's 2925-position model. Lineage: Bacteria; Pseudomonadati; Pseudomonadota; Gammaproteobacteria; Enterobacterales; Enterobacteriaceae. The record is from RNAcentral.
CGGGACACGUGGUAUCCUGUCUGAAUAUGGGGGGACCAUCCUCCAAGGCUAAAUACUCCUGACUGACCGAUAGUGAACCAGUACCGUGAGGGAAAGGCGAAAAGAACCCCGGCGAGGGGAGUGAAAAAGAACCUGAAACCGUGUACGUACAAGCAGUGGGAGCACGCUUCGGCGUGUGACUGCGUACCUUUUGUAUAAUGGGUCAGCGACUUAUAUUCUGUAGCAAGGUUAACCGAAUAGGGGAGCCGAAGGGAAACCGAGUCUUAACUGGGCGUUAAGUUGCAGGGUAUAGACCCGAAACCCGGUGAUCUAGCCAUGGGCAGGUUGAAGGUUGGGUAACACUAACUGGAGGACCGAACCGACUAAUGUUGAAAAAUUAGCGGAUGACUUGUGGCUGGGGGUGAAAGGCCAAUCAAACCGGGAGAUAGCUGGUUCUCCCCGAAAGCUAUUUAGGUAGCGCCUCGUGAAUUCAUCUCCGGGGGUAGAGCACUGUUUCGGCAAGGGGGUCAUCCCGACUUACCAACCCGAUGCAAACUGCGAAUACCGGAGAAUGUUAUCACGGGAGACACACGGCGGGUGCUAACGUCCGUCGUGAAGAGGGAAACAACCCAGACCGCCAGCUAAGGUCCCAAAGUCAUGGUUAAGUGGGAAACGAUGUGGGAAGGCCCAGACAGCCAGGAUGUUGGCUUAGAAGCAGCCAUCAUUUAAAGAAAGCGUAAUAGCUCACUGGUCGAGUCGGCCUGCGCGGAAGAUGUAACGGGGCUAAACCAUGCACCGAAGCUGCGGCAGCGACGCUUAUGCGUUGUUGGGUAGGGGAGCGUUCUGUAAGCCUGUGAAGGUGUGCUGUGAGGCAUGCUGGAGGUAUCAGAAGUGCGAAUGCUGACAUAAGUAACGAUAAAGCGGGUGAAAAGCCCGCUCGCCGGAAGACCAAGGGUUCCUGUCCAACGUUAAUCGGGGCAGGGUGAGUCGACCCCUAAGGCGAGGCCGAAAGGCGUAGUCGAUGGGAAACAGGUUAAUAUUCCUGUACUUGGUGUUACUGCGAAGGGGGGACGGAGAAGGCUAUGUUGGCCGGGCGACGGUUGUCCCGGUUUAAGCGUGUAGGCUGGUUUUCCAGGCAAAUCCGGAAAAUCAAGGCUGAGGCGUGAUGACGAGGCACUACGGUGCUGAAGCAACAAAUGCCCUGCUUCCAGGAAAAGCCUCUAAGCAUCAGGUAACAUCAAAUCGUACCCCAAACCGACACAGGUGGUCAGGUAGAGAAUACCAAGGCGCUUGAGAGAACUCGGGUGAAGGAACUAGGCAAAAUGGUGCCGUAACUUCGGGAGAAGGCACGCUGAUAUGUAGGUGAAGCGACUUGCUCGUGGAGCUGAAAUCAGUCGAAGAUACCAGCUGGCUGCAACUGUUUAUUAAAAACACAGCACUGUGCAAACACGAAAGUGGACGUAUACGGUGUGACGCCUGCCCGGUGCCGGAAGGUUAAUUGAUGGGGUCAGCGCAAGCGAAGCUCUUGAUCGAAGCCCCGGUAAACGGCGGCCGUAACUAUAACGGUCCUAAGGUAGCGAAAUUCCUUGUCGGGUAAGUUCCGACCUGCACGAAUGGCGUAAUGAUGGCCAGGCUGUCUCCACCCGAGACUCAGUGAAAUUGAACUCGCUGUGAAGAUGCAGUGUACCCGCGGCAAGACGGAAAGACCCCGUGAACCUUUACUAUAGCUUGACACUGAACAUUGAGCCUUGAUGUGUAGGAUAGGUGGGAGGCUUUGAAGUGUGGACGCCAGUCUGCAUGGAGCCGACCUUGAAAUACCACCCUUUAAUGUUUGAUGUUCUAACGUUGACCCGUAAUCCGGGUUGCGGACAGUGUCUGGUGGGUAGUUUGACUGGGGCGGUCUCCUCCUAAAGAGUAACGGAGGAGCACGAAGGUUGGCUAAUCCUGGUCGGACAUCAGGAGGUUAGUGCAAUGGCAUAAGCCAGCUUGACUGCGAGCGUGACGGCGCGAGCAGGUGCGAAAGCAGGUCAUAGUGAUCCGGUGGUUCUGAAUGGAAGGGCCAUCGCUCAACGGAUAAAAGGUACUCCGGGGAUAACAGGCUGAUACCGCCCAAGAGUUCAUAUCGACGGCGGUGUUUGGCACCUCGAUGUCGGCUCAUCACAUCCUGGGGCUGAAGUAGGUCCCAAGGGUAUGGCUGUUCGCCAUUUAAAGUGGUACGCGAGCUGGGUUUAGAACGUCGUGAGACAGUUCGGUCCCUAUCUGCCGUGGGCGCUGGAGAACUGAGGGGGGCUGCUCCUAGUACGAGAGGACCGGAGUGGACGCAUCACUGGUGUUCGGGUUGUCAUGCCAAUGGCACUGCCCGGUAGCUAAAUGCGGAAGAGAUAAGUGCUGAAAGCAUCUAAGCACGAAACUUGCCCCGAGAUGAGUUCUCCCUGACCCUUUAAGGGUCCUGAAGGAACGUUGAAGACGACGACGUUGAUAGGCCGGGUGUGUAAGCGCAGCGAUGCGUUGAGCUAACCGGUACUAAUGAACCGUGAG